UGAGGAAUAUUGGUCAAUGGACGCAAGUCUGAACCAGCCAAGUAGCGUGCAGGAUGACGGCCCUAUGGGUUGUAAACUGCUUUUAUAUGGGGAUAAAGUGGGGAACGUGUUCCCUUUUGCAGGUACCUUUCGAAUAAGCGCCGGCUAACUACGUGCCAGCAGCCGCGGUAAUACGUAGGGCGCAAGCGUUAUCCGGAAUUAUUGGGCGUAAAGAGCUUGUAGGCGGUUCGUCGCGUCUGGUGUGAAAGCCCAUCGCUUAACGGUGGGUUUGCGCCGGGUACGGGCGGGCUAGAGUGCAGUAGGGGAGACUGGAAUUCCCGGUGUAACGGUGGAAUGUGUAGAUAUCGGGAAGAACACCAAUGGCGAAGGCAGGUCUCUGGGCUGUUACUGACGCUGAGAAGCGAAAGCGUGGGGAGCGAACAGG
RNAcentral lists this ribosomal RNA (424 nucleotides) under Verrucomicrobiota bacterium. Its description in RNAcentral is "Verrucomicrobia bacterium partial 16S ribosomal RNA". It matches the Rfam family "Bacterial small subunit ribosomal RNA", at positions 355 to 776 of the family's 1533-position model. The record is from RNAcentral. Lineage: Bacteria; Pseudomonadati; Verrucomicrobiota.